GUAUAGACCCGAAACCCGGUGAUCUAGCCAUGGGCAGGUUGAAGGUUGGGUAACACUAACUGGAGGACCGAACCGACUAAUGUUGAAAAAUUAGCGGAUGACUUGUGGCUGGGGGUGAAAGGCCAAUCAAACCGGGAGAUAGCUGGUUCUCCCCGAAAGCUAUUUAGGUAGCGCCUCGUGAACUCAUCUUCGGGGGUAGAGCACUGUUUCGGCUAGGGGGCCAUCCCGGCUUACCAACCCGAUGCAAACUACGAAUACCGAAGAAUGUUAUCACGGGAGACACACGGCGGGUGCUAACGUCCGUCGUGAAGAGGGAAACAACCCAGACCGCCAGCUAAGGUCCCAAAGUCAUGGUUAAGUGGGAAACGAUGUGGGAAGGCACAGACAGCCAGGAUGUUGGCUUAGAAGCAGCCAUCAUUUAAAGAAAGCGUAAUAGCUCACUGGUCGAGUCGGCCUGCGCGGAAGAUGUAACGGGGCUAAACCAUGCACCGAAGCUGCGGCAGCGACACUAUGUGUUGUUGGGUAGGGGAGCGUUCUGUAAGCCGUUGAAGGUGGCCUGUGAGGGUUGCUGGAGGUAUCAGAAGUGCGAAUGCUGACAUAAGUAACGAUAAAGCGGGUGAAAAGCCCGCUCGCCGGAAGACCAAGGGUUCCUGUCCAACGUUAAUCGGGGCAGGGUGAGUCGACCCCUAAGGCGAGGCCGAAAGGCGUAGUCGAUGGGAAACAGGUUAAUAUUCCUGUACUUGGUGUUACUGCGAAGGGGGGACGGAGAAGGCUAUGUUAGCCGGGCGACGGUUGUCCCGGUUUAAGCAUGUAGGCGGAACGAUUAGGUAAAUCCGGUCGUUUUUUAACGCUGAGGUGUGAUGACGAGGCACUACGGUGCUGAAGUAACAAAUGCCCUGCUUCCAGGAAAAGCCUCUAAGCAUCAGGUAACAUCAAAUCGUACCCCAAACCGACACAGGUGGUCAGGUAGAGAAUACCAAGGCGCUUGAGAGAACUCGGGUGAAGGAACUAGGCAAAAUGGUGCCGUAACUUCGGGAGAAGGCACGCUGAUAUGUAGGUGAAGCCCCUGCGGGUGGAGCUGAAAUCAGUCGAAGAUACCAGCUGGCUGCAACUGUUUAUUAAAAACACAGCACUGUGCAAACACGAAAGUGGACGUAUACGGUGUGACGCCUGCCCGGUGCCGGAAGGUUAAUUGAUGGGGUUAGCGG
This 1208-nucleotide ribosomal RNA is filed under the name Enterobacter roggenkampii. Its description in RNAcentral is "partial 23S ribosomal RNA". It matches the Rfam family "Bacterial large subunit ribosomal RNA", at positions 707 to 1896 of the family's 2925-position model. Lineage: Bacteria; Pseudomonadati; Pseudomonadota; Gammaproteobacteria; Enterobacterales; Enterobacteriaceae. The record is from RNAcentral.